RNAcentral lists this ribosomal RNA (249 nucleotides) under uncultured bacterium. RNAcentral describes it as "partial 16S ribosomal RNA". It matches the Rfam family "Bacterial small subunit ribosomal RNA", at positions 15 to 273 of the family's 1533-position model. The record is from RNAcentral.
GAUCCUGGCUCAGGAUGAACGCUGGCGGCGUGCCUAACACAUCCAAGUCGAGCGAUUCUCUUCGGAGAAGAGCGGCGGACGGGUGAGUAACGCGUGGGUAACCUGCCCUAUACACACGGAUAACAUACCGAAAGGUAUGCUAAUACGAGAUAACAUAAGAGAUUCGCAUGGAUUUCUUAUCAAAGCUUUUGCGGUAUAGGAUGGACCCGCGUCUGAUUAGCUAGUUGGUAAGGUAACGGCUUACCAAGG